RNAcentral lists this transfer RNA (74 nucleotides) under Deltaproteobacteria bacterium. RNAcentral describes it as "tRNA-Gln". It matches the Rfam family "tRNA". Rfam says of the family: Transfer RNA (tRNA) molecules are approximately 80 nucleotides in length. Their secondary structure includes four short double-helical elements and three loops (D, anti-codon, and T loops). Lineage: Bacteria; Pseudomonadati; Myxococcota; Myxococcia. The record is from RNAcentral. RNAcentral also lists the same sequence under 2 other names.
UGGGGGAUCGUCUAACGGCAGGACGUAGGACUCUGACUCCUACUAUCUAGGUUCGAAUCCUAGUCCCCCAACCA